CAAUAGCGUAUAUUAAAGUUGUUGCGGUUAAAAGCUCGUAGUUGGAUUUCUGUCGAGGACAGCCGGUCCACACUUUGUGUGAGUAUCUGGUUUGGCCUUGGCAUCCUCUUGAAAAACAGCUCUGCGCUUGAUUGCGUGGACUGGAGUUCAAGACUUUUACUUUGAGGAAAUUAGAGUGUUCACGGCAGGCAAACGCCUUGAAUAUAUUAGCAUGGAAUAAUAAUAUAGGACCUUUGUUCUAUUUUGUUGGUUUCUAGAGCGAAGGUAAUGAUUAAUAGGGAUAAUUGGGGGCAUUCGUAUUAACGCGUCAGAGGUGGAAUUCUUGGAUUGCGUUACGACGAACUACUGCGAAAGCAUUUGCCAAGGAUGUUUUCAUUGAUCAAGAACGAAAGUUAGGGGAUCGAAGACGAUCAGAUACCAU
RNAcentral lists this ribosomal RNA (421 nucleotides) under uncultured eukaryote. Its description in RNAcentral is "SSU rRNA". It matches the Rfam family "Eukaryotic small subunit ribosomal RNA", at positions 592 to 1018 of the family's 1831-position model. The record is from RNAcentral.